Molecule: ribosomal RNA, 439 nt
Filed under: uncultured bacterium
Lineage: Bacteria
Description: partial 16S ribosomal RNA
Rfam family: Bacterial small subunit ribosomal RNA
Source: RNAcentral
CUACGGGGGGCACCAGUGGGGAAUAUUGGACAAUGGGGGCAACCCUGAUCCAGCAAUGCCGCGUGAGUGACGAAGGCCUUAGGGUUGUAAAGCUCUUUCGGCGGGGACGAUGAUGACGGUACCCGCAGAAGAAGCCCCGGCUAACUCCGUGCCAGCAGCCGCGGUAAUACGGAGGGGGCUAGCGUUGUUCGGAAUUACUGGGCGUAAAGGGCGCGUAGGCGGCCUCGUCAGUCGGGUGUGAAAGCCCUGGGCUUAACCCGGGAAAGGCGCUCGAGACGACGGGGCUGGAGUUCGGAAGAGGAUGGUGGAAUUCCCAGUGUAGAGGUGAAAUUCGUAGAUAUUGGGAAGAACACCGGUGGCGAAGGCGGCCAUCUGGUCCGCGACUGACGCUGAGGCGCGAAAGCGUGGGGAGCAAACAGGAUUAGAUACCCCCGUAGUC